Molecule: transfer RNA, 90 nt
Filed under: Alphaproteobacteria bacterium
Lineage: Bacteria; Pseudomonadati; Pseudomonadota; Alphaproteobacteria
Description: tRNA-Ser
Rfam family: tRNA
About the family: Transfer RNA (tRNA) molecules are approximately 80 nucleotides in length. Their secondary structure includes four short double-helical elements and three loops (D, anti-codon, and T loops). Further hydrogen bonds mediate the characteristic L-shaped molecular structure. tRNAs have two regions of fundamental functional importance: the anti-codon, which is responsible for specific mRNA codon recognition, and the 3' end, to which the tRNAs corresponding amino acid is attached (by aminoacyl-tRNA synthetases). tRNAs cope with the degeneracy of the genetic code in two manners: having more than one tRNA (with a specific anti-codon) for a particular amino acid; and 'wobble' base-pairing, i.e. permitting non-standard base-pairing at the 3rd anti-codon position.
Source: RNAcentral
GGAGAGGUGCCGGAGCGGUCGAUCGGGCUGGUCUCGAAAACCAGUGGACCCUCACGGGUCCCGUGAGUUCGAAUCUCACCCUCUCCGCCA